This 305-nucleotide ribosomal RNA is filed under the name uncultured bacterium. Its description in RNAcentral is "bacterial SSU rRNA". It matches the Rfam family "Bacterial small subunit ribosomal RNA", at positions 337 to 635 of the family's 1533-position model. The record is from RNAcentral.
ACCUACGGGGGGCAGCAGUAGGGAAUUUUCGUCAAUGGGCGCAAGCCUGAACGAGCAAUGCCGCGUGAACGAGGAAGGUCUUCGGAUCGUAAAGUUCUGUUGAAGGGGAAAAAGAGCGGAGAGAGGAAAUGGUCUCCGAUUGAUAUUACCCUUCGAGGAAGUCACGGCUAACUACGUGCCAGCAGCCGCGGUAAUACGUAGGUGGCGAGCGUUAUCCGGAAUGAUUGGGCGUAAAGGGUGUGUAGGCGGCCUGCUAAGUCUGGAGUGAAAGGUACCGGCUCAACCGGUACAGGCUCUGGAAACUG